Molecule: ribosomal RNA, 372 nt
Filed under: Triticum aestivum (bread wheat)
Lineage: Eukaryota; Viridiplantae; Streptophyta; Magnoliopsida; Poales; Poaceae
Description: partial small subunit ribosomal RNA
Source: RNAcentral
AUGACAGACAGGCCGAGGUUUAUUCAUGGACACAGUGCUAACUACUAUAGACGCACAGAGGUGCGAGCAAGCCAGGAUGCACGCAGGCAGGCUGCAGCUAGGCGGACGUACGAAGUAGAGGCAAUAGGUUGGUUACUGCCGGCAGUGGGUGGUGCAGAAGCAGCGAUGGCGGAAGCCGCGGCACUUGCCGCCGGGGAAGCCCUCGGUCUUGCAGACGUUGGCGCAGUUGUGGUGGCGCACGCAGGGGCCCCUGAACCUGUGGCUCUUCGCCUCGCACGUCCGCGCCUCCGCCACCGCCACCGGGCCUCCCAUCUCCCCUGUGCCCGCCAGCAGCAGCACCAGGAGGAGCGCCGCCGAGAGGAGCUUGCGUGA